This 360-nucleotide ribosomal RNA is filed under the name uncultured bacterium. RNAcentral's name for it is "bacterial SSU rRNA". It matches the Rfam family "Bacterial small subunit ribosomal RNA", at positions 29 to 416 of the family's 1533-position model. The record is from RNAcentral.
AAUGAACGCUGGCGGCAGGCCUAAAACAUGCAAGUCGAACGCUGUAGCAAUACAGAGUGGCGCACGGGUGAGUAACAUGUGGGAAUAUGCCUAUUGGUACGGAACAACGUUUGGAAACGAACGCUAAUACCGUAUGGUCCCUUCGGGGUAAAGAUUUAUCGCCAAUAGAUUAGCCCGCACUAGAUUAGCUAGUUGGUGAGGUAAGAGCUCACCAAGGCGACGAUCUAUAGCUGGUCUGAGAGGACGAUCAGCCACACUGAGACUGAGACACGGCCCAGACUCCUACGGGAGGCAGCAGUUAGGAAUAUUGGACAAUGGGCGCAAGCCUGAUCCAGCCAUGCCGCGUGAGUGAUGAAGGCC